Molecule: ribosomal RNA, 164 nt
Filed under: uncultured bacterium
Lineage: Bacteria
Description: partial 16S ribosomal RNA
Rfam family: Bacterial small subunit ribosomal RNA
Source: RNAcentral
UAGGGAAUCUUCCACAAUGGGCGAAAGCCUGAUGGAGCAACGCCGCGUGUGUGAAGAAGGGUUUCGGCUCGUAAAACUCUGUUGUUAAAGAAGAACAUAUCUGAGAGUAACUGUUCAGGUAUUGACGGUAUUUAACCAGAAAGCCACGGCUAACUACGUGCCAG